Molecule: ribosomal RNA, 501 nt
Filed under: uncultured bacterium
Lineage: Bacteria
Description: partial 16S ribosomal RNA
Rfam family: Bacterial small subunit ribosomal RNA
Source: RNAcentral
AUUGAACGCUGGCGGCAGGCUUAACACAUGCAAGUCGAGCGGGGGAAGGUAGCUUGCUACCGGACCUAGCGGCGGACGGGUGAGUAAUGCUUAGGAAUCUGCCUAUUAGUGGGGGACAACAUCUCGAAAGGGAUGCUAAUACCGCAUACGUCCUACGGGAGAAAGCAGGGGAUCUUCGGACCUUGCGCUAAUAGAUGAGCCUAAGUCGGAUUAGCUAGUUGGUGGGGUAAAGGCCUACCAAGGCGACGACCUGUAGCGGGUCUGAGAGGAUGGUCCGCCACACUGGGACUGAGACACGGCCCAGACUCCUACGGGAGGCAGCAGUGGGGAAUAUUGGACAAUGGGGGGAACCCUGAUCCAGCCAUGCCGCGUGUGUGAAGAAGGCCUUAUGGUUGUAAAGCACUUUAAGCGAGGAGGAGGCUACUCUAGUUAAUACCUAGGGAUAGUGGACGUUACUCGCAGAGUAAGCACCGGCUAACUCUGUGCCAGCCGCCGCCGUAA